Molecule: long non-coding RNA, 332 nt
Organism: Epinephelus fuscoguttatus (brown-marbled grouper)
Lineage: Eukaryota; Metazoa; Chordata; Actinopteri; Perciformes; Serranidae
Exons: 4
Source: RefSeq, a predicted model, not a curated record
UGCCCAUGUUGGGUGAAAACACUCAGUAAAACCUGCCAACAUAUAAAUACAUGAAUGUGUAUUUGACUGACAACUAUUUAUUGCUCUGCCAGGCUGAGUGGGAAGUUUGAGUUUACCGCAGUAAAACUACAUGUCUGCCUCUCCAAAAAAAGCUGGCGAAUUGACAGCCCACAUAAAGCCAUCAGUGCAGGGGGAUCACCUGGGAAGGAGAGACAAAGAAAAACUCGCUCUGGAUCGACCUGCCCGAGGAUGUAAGGCUGUCUGAGUCACUGGCUUCGUUUAAGUCUCUCCUGAAAACAUACUUCUAUCAGAAAUCAUAUCCUGACUUUACC